This 385-nucleotide small RNA is filed under the name Histoplasma capsulatum. Its description in RNAcentral is "hypothetical RNA". The record is from RNAcentral. Lineage: Eukaryota; Fungi; Ascomycota; Eurotiomycetes; Onygenales; Ajellomycetaceae. RNAcentral also lists the same sequence under 1 other name.
UUUAAUCUCUUAAUCUUUUAUUUAAUUUCUUAAUAUUUCACUCUCUCAAUUACUCAGCUGACUAUCUUAUAGUUUUAUAUCUAUUAUCUACUUUAUCUAUUUUUUACUUAUUUUUUAUAUCUUUAUCUUCAUCUUUCAUUCUCAUCUAUUAAUUAUAUUACUUUUAAAUUAAUUUAAUCACUGAGUUUAAAUUCAUCUGUAAUCUUUUCUUAAUCUCUCUUCUUGAUCUCUGAUUGAUUCUCAGCAGUAUCUAUUAUAAAACUCUUUUUAUUCUCUUUCUAUUUCUUACAAUAUUAUUAGUGUUAUUAAUCUUAAUUCUUUGAAUUAUUCUUCAGUUGUGAUUAUUCAAAAUAGCACUCAGAUAUAAAUUCAAUAUUUACAGCAA